Long non-coding RNA from Thalassophryne amazonica, 493 nucleotides. RefSeq lists it as uncharacterized. The record is from RefSeq and is a predicted model, not a curated record. NCBI's taxonomy places the organism in Eukaryota, Metazoa, Chordata, Actinopteri, Batrachoidiformes, Batrachoididae. The transcript has 3 exons.
UCUAGAGCAGGGCUAUUCAACUGGUGGCCCGCUGGCCAGAACCGGCCCUUUAAUAAGUUUGGACCGGCCCGCAGCUCAUCUACCCAAAAAUAAUAAUAAAUACACGGAUUAUAAGCUGCUACAAAGUGCAUUCGCCAAUUUUCUGCAUUUUAUGACACUUUGUGGCGCUUUGUGGCACGAUGAGUCCUUUACGGCACGUUAGUACUGUUUCCAAACAGACCCACCUCACAUGAGGGCAUUGCGGGCACUCGAACAGUUGGUGGCGGCAAUGCACCGUAUUAGUUUGCAAACCGCUACUAAACUCGAAUGAAGAAGAAGAAGAAGACAACAGGGCACAUUCAAAGGAGAGGAGACGUAAAUUAUACAGCCAAGAGUAAUAGUACAGGUCACGUGAAUGUCCGGCCCACAGAUCAUAGUAUUCUGACAAAUUUGGCCCCAGGAAAAAUAUAGUUGAAUAGCCCUGCUCUAGAGCCAAUAUGCUUCUGGAAUGGAA